RNAcentral lists this transfer RNA (76 nucleotides) under Oceanidesulfovibrio indonesiensis. RNAcentral's name for it is "Desulfovibrio indonesiensis tRNA-Glu". It matches the Rfam family "tRNA". Rfam says of the family: Transfer RNA (tRNA) molecules are approximately 80 nucleotides in length. Their secondary structure includes four short double-helical elements and three loops (D, anti-codon, and T loops). The record is from RNAcentral. Lineage: Bacteria; Pseudomonadati; Thermodesulfobacteriota; Desulfovibrionia; Desulfovibrionales; Desulfovibrionaceae.
GUCCCCAUCGUCUAGUGGCCCAGGACUCCGGCCUCUCACGCCGGUAACAGGGGUUCAAAUCCCCUUGGGGACGCCA